Molecule: ribosomal RNA, 253 nt
Filed under: uncultured bacterium
Lineage: Bacteria
Description: partial 16S ribosomal RNA
Rfam family: Bacterial small subunit ribosomal RNA
Source: RNAcentral
UACGGAGGGUGCGAGAGUUGUUCGGAAUCACUGGGCGUAAAGCGCGUGUAGGCGGUCUGGCAAGUCUGGUGUGAAAGCCCGGGGCUCACCCCCGGAAGUGCACUGGAAACUGCCAGACUCGAGUCCCGGAGAGGAGAGUAGAAUUCCUGGUGUAGCGGUGAAAUGCGUAGAGAUCAGGAGGAAUACCGGUGGCGAAGGCGGCUCUCUGGACGGUGACUGACGAUGAGACGCGAAAGAGUGGGGAGCAAACAGG